RNAcentral lists this ribosomal RNA (253 nucleotides) under uncultured bacterium. RNAcentral describes it as "partial 16S ribosomal RNA". It matches the Rfam family "Bacterial small subunit ribosomal RNA", at positions 524 to 776 of the family's 1533-position model. The record is from RNAcentral.
UACAGAGGUCUCAAGCGUUGUUCGGAUUCAUUGGGCGUAAAGGGUGCGUAGGCGGCGCGGUAAGUCGGAUGUGAAAUCUCGGGGCUUAACUCCGAAACUGCAUUCGAUACUGCCGUGCUUGAGGACUGGAGAGGAGACUGGAAUUUACGGUGUAGCGGUGAAAUGCGUAGAUAUCGUAAGGAAGACCAGUGGCGAAGGCGGGUCUCUGGACAGUUCCUGACGCUGAGGGACGAAAGCUAGGGGAGCGAAUGGG